RNAcentral lists this ribosomal RNA (490 nucleotides) under uncultured bacterium. RNAcentral describes it as "partial 16S ribosomal RNA". It matches the Rfam family "Bacterial small subunit ribosomal RNA", at positions 29 to 507 of the family's 1533-position model. The record is from RNAcentral.
AAUGAACGCUGGCGGCAUGCCUUACACAUGCAAGUCGAACGGCAGCAUGACCUAGCUUGCUAGGUUGAUGGCGAGUGGCGAACGGGUGAGUAAUGCAUCGGAACGUGCCUUUUAGUGGGGGAUAACAUAUCGAAAGUUACGCUAAUACCGCAUAUUCUCUGAGGAGGAAAGCAGGGGGCCUUCGGGCCUUGCGCUAGAAGAGCGGCCGAUGUCGGAUUAGCUAGUUGGUGAGGUAAAGUCUCACAAAGGCGACGAUCCGUAGCGGGUCUGAGAGGAUGAUCCGCCACACUAGGACUGAGAGACGGCCCAUACUACUAAGGGAGGAUGCAGUGGGGAAUUUUGGACAAUGGGCGCAAGCCUGAUCCAGCCAUGCCGAGUGAGUGAAGAAGGCCUUCGGGUUGUAAAGCUCUUGCGGCUGGGAAGAAAUCGCACUCUCUAAUACAGGGUGUGGAUGACGGUACCAGCAGAAGAAGCACCGGCUAACUACGUG